UGUGUUGCUUACCUACGAGAAGGAAUUCGAUCGUAUUGUUGCCCCUUUCCGCCCGACGCCCUCUGUGGGUGUGGGGUGGACGCAAGGCACGCUACGUGUUCCUCGCAUGCCUUGCAUUUCUGCGUGGCUGCUGAGGCCCACGGAGCUGUUGCCCGUUCUCUCGGAUGCGGAACGCCAUGCGUGGGUGCAAGGCCUCGGCCUCUGCUGACCCAAGCAACGCAUUUGUCCCUUGACACGAACGACUGCCGCGGUCGCCUUGAGCCCCUCGUAGCCUGCGUGCUCGAUGGUGCUCAUGCGGCCGUCGGCGUCGUCGAGGAAUGCUACCUGGUUGAUCCUGCCAGUAGUCAU
Molecule: unclassified non-coding RNA, 348 nt
Filed under: Amphipterygium adstringens
Lineage: Eukaryota; Viridiplantae; Streptophyta; Magnoliopsida; Sapindales; Anacardiaceae
Description: partial external transcribed spacer
Source: RNAcentral